AAAUUGAAGAGUUUGAUCAUGGCUCAGAUUGAACGCUGGCGGCAGGCCUAACACAUGCAAGUCGAGCGGUAGCACAGAGAGCUUGCUCUCGGGUGACGAGCGGCGGACGGGUGAGUAAUGUCUGGGAAACUGCCUGAUGGAGGGGGAUAACUACUGGAAACGGUAGCUAAUACCGCAUAACGUCGCAAGACCAAAGUGGGGGACCUUCGGGCCUCAUGCCAUCAGAUGUGCCCAGAUGGGAUUAGCUAGUAGGUGGGGUAAUGGCUCACCUAGGCGACGAUCCCUAGCUGGUCUGAGAGGAUGACCAGCCACACUGGAACUGAGACACGGUCCAGACUCCUACGGGAGGCAGCAGUGGGGAAUAUUGCACAAUGGGCGCAAGCCUGAUGCAGCCAUGCCGCGUGUAUGAAGAAGGCCUUCGGGUUGUAAAGUACUUUCAGUGAGGAGGAAGGCGUUAAGGUUAAUAACCUUGGCGAUUGACGUUACUCGCAGAAGAAGCACCGGCUAACUCCGUGCCAGCAGCCGCGGUAAUACGGAGGGUGCAAGCGUUAAUCGGAAUUACUGGGCGUAAAGCGCACGCAGGCGGUCUGUCAAGUCGGAUGUGAAAUCCCCGGGCUCAACCUGGGAACUGCAUUCGAAACUGGCAGGCUAGAGUCUUGUAGAGGGGGGUAGAAUUCCAGGUGUAGCGGUGAAAUGCGUAGAGAUCUGGAGGAAUACCGGUGGCGAAGGCGGCCCCCUGGACAAAGACUGACGCUCAGGUGCGAAAGCGUGGGGAGCAAACAGGAUUAGAUACCCUGGUAGUCCACGCCGUAAACGAUGUCGACUUGGAGGUUGUGCCCUUGAGGCGUGGCUUCCGGAGCUAACGCGUUAAGUCGACCGCCUGGGGAGUACGGCCGCAAGGUUAAAACUCAAAUGAAUUGACGGGGGCCCGCACAAGCGGUGGAGCAUGUGGUUUAAUUCGAUGCAACGCGAAGAACCUUACCUACUCUUGACAUCCAGAGAACUUAGCAGAGAUGCUUUGGUGCCUUCGGGAACUCUGAGACAGGUGCUGCAUGGCUGUCGUCAGCUCGUGUUGUGAAAUGUUGGGUUAAGUCCCGCAACGAGCGCAACCCUUAUCCUUUGUUGCCAGCGAUUCGGUCGGGAACUCAAAGGAGACUGCCAGUGAUAAACUGGAGGAAGGUGGGGAUGACGUCAAGUCAUCAUGGCCCUUACGAGUAGGGCUACACACGUGCUACAAUGGCAUAUACAAAGAGAAGCGACCUCGCGAGAGCAAGCGGACCUCAUAAAGUAUGUCGUAGUCCGGAUUGGAGUCUGCAACUCGACUCCAUGAAGUCGGAAUCGCUAGUAAUCGUAGAUCAGAAUGCUACGGUGAAUACGUUCCCGGGCCUUGUACACACCGCCCGUCACACCAUGGGAGUGGGUUGCAAAAGAAGUAGGUAGCUUAACCUUCGGGAGGGCGCUUACCACUUUGUGAUUCAUGACUGGGGUGAAGUCGUAACAAGGUAACCGUAGGGGAACCUGCGGUUGGAUCACCUCCUUA
Molecule: ribosomal RNA, 1540 nt
Filed under: Klebsiella aerogenes
Lineage: Bacteria; Pseudomonadati; Pseudomonadota; Gammaproteobacteria; Enterobacterales; Enterobacteriaceae
Description: bacterial SSU rRNA
Rfam family: Bacterial small subunit ribosomal RNA
Source: RNAcentral